This is a long non-coding RNA of Hypomesus transpacificus, 1570 nucleotides long. RefSeq lists it as uncharacterized. The transcript is spliced from 2 exons. NCBI's taxonomy places the organism in Eukaryota, Metazoa, Chordata, Actinopteri, Osmeriformes, Osmeridae. The record is from RefSeq and is a predicted model, not a curated record.
CUGUGGGCCAAAUUGUUCAGCUGGUGGACGCUAUGGGAACCGAAAGCGCUCUCUGAUGUCACCUUUGCUCUCACGGUUUGCAGCCGUGGGUUUUGCCAGAGGACAGAACCAGCAGGGCCUAACAGGAAGGAGAACCAAGGGACGUGGAUUUUAUUCACAAAGGGAAAUCCAAACAGUGAGCCCAUCGCUUUCCCCUCCAUUUUCCCUGAGAGAGCAAACAGGCACUUUGUGUAUCCUGACCCAGAUGCCGCAGACAGAGAAACUUGUCUGUGCUUGUAUAAUCAUUCACUCUUUUGUCAACAAUGAGAACAAAUUGACAAAACUACAGAUUUGAUUUCCAGCUCAGUCACCAAGACACAUUACAUUUGAUCAUCAUGUAUGAUCAAAUGUAAUCCCAUCUGCAAUUCAUGCAACAGAAUAGUUACUUUCUAACAUAAACUUUCUUAUAUUGUGUGUACAGUAGAUGUACAGUAUGGUAUUAUUUUAUAUCAAACUAGUUUAUUGUAUUAAAGCAAACCAGUGCAAAUCAUUUAAAGAGGCUUCUCACCUCGCUUCAUCCACAAACAUUACGCCAUGUAUAACAUUAAAUUCCUUAGAUGUGCCUGUUAUUACGGUGUUCUGUCGUGCUGACACAAGAACUCGUUGACCUCUAAUGUAUGACCACCUGCCUCUUUUUGCAUUUAACAUCCCACCAUAGACGCCUCAUUCCGCAUUUAAAUCCAAUGCAUUAUAUUGUUGUGACCAAGACUUGUCUAACCCAUCAUGGAAUAGAUAUUUUCGAGAAAUAGAUCCUAAACUGUGUUAUUUAAAUUGAUCAUCAUAACAAGGUUUUACGACAAAAACGUGCCAUGAUAUUUGCACCUCGGACCUAAAAUAAACACACAAAGUAAUGAUUCAUGAAUGCCGGAAGAAUCAGGAACUAAUCACCUUAGAUCUUUGGGCGUGAGUUUUACUUACUGCAAGGAAAUGUUAGUAGAGCCAUAUUCAGAAGGCAUCAAGUUCAGAAAGCAUCAAAACACUCCACAAAUAGAGAUGUGGUAGCACUCCGACCUAAAGAAACAACGUUCUGCACAGCUUUAUACCUGCUUGUUCCACGCGUUGGCAAACAAUGCAUGCUUCGUAUGCAUUGCAGUGCAAAAGCGCAGCACACGAGGAGACAGGUCCGCAUCAUCAUCGUCAUGUGGAUCCGUGGACAGCUUGGAUGAGAAAGUCCCGCCGUCUACAGGCUCCUGCCCUUGCUGGAGCCGAAGAAUGACGGGCAGCACAGCGUCUAAAGGGUCUCUUAUAGGUUCAGAUUUCUUUGUUCUCUUUUUCUUCACAUAGACUUUCUUUAUAGCCUGGAGUGAUAAUACCACUUGUUACCACGUGACUCUUAACCCGUUUUAUGCUGUGCACUUGAACAUGGAUUCAAAACAGAUGAUGUACCCGAGGACGAAGGAUAAGGAUGUGGAUAUUCUACAUUUAGGCUAUUUAUCUCAAUAAUGUCUCCGAAAUACCUGAUUAUCCCCCAUCCCGUACAAUUUAGGUAACCAUUCCAACAAGUGCAUGAAAAUAAACUAUCUAUUUGUCA